RNAcentral lists this ribosomal RNA (766 nucleotides) under Eudiaptomus environmental sample. RNAcentral describes it as "SSU rRNA". It matches the Rfam family "Eukaryotic small subunit ribosomal RNA", at positions 626 to 1411 of the family's 1831-position model. The record is from RNAcentral. Lineage: Eukaryota; Metazoa; Arthropoda; Copepoda; Calanoida; Diaptomidae.
GCUCGUAGUUGGAUCUCGGCGGACAGAAGUCGGUCCGAAUGCUUUCGGUACUGGCUUGUUUGUCCGUGUGUUUUGCCAGAGGCAGGCGGGUGCUCUUCGCCGAGUGUCCGUCUGUGCUGGCAGGUUUACUUUGAAAAAAUUAGAGUGCUCAAAGCAAGCUCUCACGCUUGAAUAUUCGUGCAUGGAAUAAUAGAAUAGGACGUCGUUUCUAUUUUGUUGGUUUUCGGAAAUCGACAUAAUGAUUAAUAGGGACAGUCGGGGGCAUUUGUAUUCAAACGACAGAGGUGAAAUUCUUGGACCGUUUGAAGACAAACUACUGCGAAAGCAUUUGCCAAGAAUGUUUUCAUUAAUCAAGAACGAAAGUUAGAGGUUCGAAGGCGAUUAGAUACCGCCCUAGUUCUAACCAUAAACGAUGCCAGCUAGCGAUCUGCAGGCGUUUUACUUUACGACCUUGCAGUGAGCUUCCGGGAAACCAAAGCUUGUGGGUUCCAGGGGAAGUAUGGUUGCAAAGCUGAAACUUAAAGGAAUUGACGGAAGGGCACCACCAGGAGUGGAGUCUGUGGCUUAAUUUGACUCAACACGGGAAAUCUCACCAGGCCCGGACACGAGAAGGAUUGACAGAUUGAUAGCUCUUUCUUGAUUUCGUGGGUGGUGGUGCAUGGCCGUUCUUAGUUGGUGAAGUGAUUUGUCUGGUUAAUUCCGAUAACGAACGAGACUCUGUCCUGCUAACUAGUGUCUGCUUCUUUUCUGAGCAGAUUAUUCUUCU